GGCCGCGUGGCGCAAUGGUAGCGCGUUAGAUUUCGGUAAGAAAUACUCUAAAGAUUCCAGGUUCGAUCCCUGGCGUGGUCG
Molecule: transfer RNA, 81 nt
Filed under: Ophiocordyceps sinensis
Lineage: Eukaryota; Fungi; Ascomycota; Sordariomycetes; Hypocreales; Ophiocordycipitaceae
Also listed under: 1 other name
Rfam family: tRNA
About the family: Transfer RNA (tRNA) molecules are approximately 80 nucleotides in length. Their secondary structure includes four short double-helical elements and three loops (D, anti-codon, and T loops).
Source: Rfam by way of RNAcentral